UCGAACGCGAAAAGCAGCAAUGCUGAGUAGAGUGGCGCACGGGUGAGUAACACGUAACUGACAUGUCCUCGAGACAAGGAUAACCGUUCGAAAGGACGGCUAAUACUUGGUAAGCCCACGGGUUUGGACCUGAGGGAAAAGGGUUGGGAUUCUUCGGAACCAAUCGCUCGAGGAGUGGGUUGCGGCCCAUCAGGUAGUUGGCGGGGUAAUGGCCCACCAAGCCUAAGACGGGUAGCUGGUCUGAGAGGAUGAUCAGCCACACUGGAACUGAGACACGGUCCAGACUCCUACGGGAGGCAGCAGUGGGGAAUCUUGCGCAAUGGGAGAAAUCCUGACGCAGCAACGCCGCGUGGGUGAUGAAGGUCUUCGGAUCGUAAAGCCCUGUCGGAGGGGAAGAUGCUUUUGCAUGCUAAUAGUAUGCAGAGGUGACGGUACCCUCAAAGGAAGCACCGGCUAACUCUGUGCCAGCAGCCGCGGUAAUACAGAGGGUGCAAGCGUUGUUCGGAAUUAUUGGGCGUAAAGGGAGUGUAGGCUGUUUGUUAAGUCUUCUGUGAAAUCUACGGGCUCAGCCUGUAACGUGCAGAGGAAACUGGCAAACUUGAGUGUCGGAGAGGAUAGGGGAAUACCCGGUGUAGAGGUGAAAUUCGUAGAGAUCGGGUGGAACACCAGUGGCGAAGGCGCCUGUCUGGCUGACAACUGACGCUGAGACUCGAAAGCAUGGGGAGCAAACAGGAUUAGAUACCCUGGUAGUCCAUGCCGUAAACGAUGAUAGCUAGAUGUGUGAGGUAUUGAC
This 793-nucleotide ribosomal RNA is filed under the name uncultured bacterium. RNAcentral describes it as "bacterial SSU rRNA". It matches the Rfam family "Bacterial small subunit ribosomal RNA", at positions 62 to 836 of the family's 1533-position model. The record is from RNAcentral.